Long non-coding RNA from Pollicipes pollicipes, 1006 nucleotides. RefSeq lists it as uncharacterized. The record is from RefSeq and is a predicted model, not a curated record. The transcript is spliced from 4 exons. Lineage: Eukaryota; Metazoa; Arthropoda; Thecostraca; Pollicipedomorpha; Pollicipedidae.
UAGCAGUCUCCAGCUGCAUCAAAAGCUGUAGCUGUUUUGUAUUUCUUUUGACGGGCUGCUCCUCUGCUUUUUUACAUUGGGUGUUUGCAGGAGCUUUGCUGAAUCACUUUCUCUUCAAAACUACGAAAUGUCUAUGUACCUUCAGUGCAAACAGAUCAGUACGAUGAUGGCGCUGCGUUCGUGGCAGACAGUGCACCCACAUAGACCCCUCAUCAGAUUCAGAAAUGGACCCAUGGCAGUGUCUUCAGAGCGCCCAAGUACCAUCUCAUCUGUUCAGGUGGCAGCGCCACCCAGCGCCCCUAGCGCCCCUAGCGGCGGCAGCAGGAAGUGGAGCGUGGUGCACGCCGGCCCCGUGCUGGAGGAGUGGCAGGUCCCGGCCCGCUACCGCCGCCUUCCGAUGGACGAAAAGGAGAUGGAGGCUAUCAAUAUGGGAGGCUCCGCGUAGCGCCGCGGUCGGCCGGCGGUAGCAGCGACGGCGCGAGAGCGAGUGUGAAUGACGGGUCGACUCCGAGUCGACCGGGCCGUCAGCGGCCGCCCGAGGCUCACCUCUCCCCAGGGUCCGACGGGUCACUGGCGCCGCGGCCGGCCGGCCGGCGGUAGCAGCGACAGGCGCGAGAGCGAGUGUGAGUGACUAGUCCACUCCGAGCCGACCACCGACCGGGCCGCCGUGCCGUCAGCGGCCGCCCGAGGCUCACCUCUCCCCAGGGUCCGGCGGACCACUGGCGCGGCGGGCUGUUUGCGCGAAACCAGAACUAUUUGUAAAUAGCGUGCGAAUGUAAUCGGGAACGCGCUGGGCUCGCAGGCGACAGCGGUCGGUACUCACCAAGCCUGGGAGAGGGGAGGGGGGUCCUGUAUUCUGGAAGCCUCUUGUUGAAAGUACUUCGUACAAGCUGCUGGUAAAAACGACCGGUCAUACUCGUAUGCAUUGUAGCUGAAUUGCUGGUGUUUGUUAUUCUGCGUUGAGUGUGCUAGGUCACGUAGAGAAUACACGCGCAUUCGGGAAUUA